CCAUCUUUUUGAGUCAUAAAGAACCGCUCUAAAAUAUUUACUACAGUAUUAACUAAAUCAUCCCAUUCUCUACCAUGCACAUAUCCAAAAAUCUGAAAUUUCAUUUUCAUAGCAAAAACAUAGACAUUCUCUCAAGACAGCUAGCUAGUAUUACACAUAACAUAAAUAUAGUUUUUAAAUUCGGUUAAAUAGAUCAAAAAGAUGAUCACUGCAAUGAACUACAUAAUUUCUAAAUUCUGUUAAGCAGAAUAAAACAAAGAUGGCUGCAAACAUAACUGAAUUCCUAGAAAGCGUUGUUAAUUUUUCCUUUAAUGUUACCGUCCUCAAGCUUUGAAGACAAUUGCUUAUGUAAGAAUUGUAUGAAGAGCUGACUGGACCCCUUAACUCUAACAUGGAUCAAAACAAACGGAUCGCGCGCCGCUUGUCUGUUCUUUUCAAUAAUACAAUUUGCCUAUUCA
RNAcentral lists this long non-coding RNA (458 nucleotides) under Lathyrus oleraceus (garden pea). RNAcentral describes it as "Pisum sativum (pea) long non-coding RNA (PSAT_LNC026654)". Lineage: Eukaryota; Viridiplantae; Streptophyta; Magnoliopsida; Fabales; Fabaceae. The record is from RNAcentral.